ACGGAUCUCUUGGUUCUGGCAUCGAUGAAGAACGCAGCAAAAUGCGAUAAGUAAUGUGAAUUGCAGAAUUCAGUGAAUCAUCGAAUCUUUGAACGCACAUUGCGCCCGCCAGUAUUCUGGCGGGCAUGCCUGUUCGAGCGUCAUUUCAACCCU
This 153-nucleotide ribosomal RNA is filed under the name Fusarium fujikuroi. RNAcentral's name for it is "5.8S ribosomal RNA". It matches the Rfam family "5.8S ribosomal RNA". From Rfam's summary of the family: 5.8S ribosomal RNA (5.8S rRNA) is a component of the large subunit of the eukaryotic ribosome. It is transcribed by RNA polymerase I as part of the 45S precursor that also contains 18S and 28S rRNA. Functionally, it is thought that 5.8S rRNA may be involved in ribosome translocation. The record is from RNAcentral. Lineage: Eukaryota; Fungi; Ascomycota; Sordariomycetes; Hypocreales; Nectriaceae. RNAcentral also lists the same sequence under 1 other name.